This 800-nucleotide ribosomal RNA is filed under the name uncultured Actinomycetes bacterium. RNAcentral's name for it is "bacterial SSU rRNA". It matches the Rfam family "Bacterial small subunit ribosomal RNA", at positions 58 to 836 of the family's 1533-position model. Lineage: Bacteria; Bacillati; Actinomycetota; Actinomycetes. The record is from RNAcentral.
CAAGUCGAACGCGAAAGCUCCCUUCGGGGAGCAAGUAGAGUGGCGCACGGGUGAGUAACACGUAGGUAAUCUACCUUUGGAUUGGGAAUAACCACCGGAAACGGUGGCUAAUACCGAAUAAUGCAGCGGCACCUAAUGGUGACAGUUGUUAAAGCGGGGGAUCGCAAGACCUCGCGUCUGAAGAGGAGCCUGCGGCAGAUUAGCUAGUUGGUAAGGUAACGGCUUACCAAGGCGAUGAUCUGUAGCCGGCCUGAGAGGGCGGUCGGCCACACUGACACUGACAUACGGGUCAGACUCCUACGGGAGGCAGCAGUCGGGAAUUUUGGGCAAUGGGCGAAAGCCUGACCCAGCAACGCCGCGUGAAGGAUGAAAUCCCUCGGGAUGUAAACUUCGCAAGAACGGGAAGAAUAAGUAAGGGUUAAUAUCUCUUACGAUGACGGUACUGUUUGUAAGCUCCGGCUAACUCCGUGCCAGCAGCCGCGGUAAUACGGGGGGAGCAAGCGUUGUUCGGAUUUACUGGGCGUAAAGGGCGCGUAGGCGGCCACCGCAAGUCGACUGUGAAAUCUCCGGGCUUAACCCGGAAAGGUCAGCCGAUACUGCGGGGCUAGAGUGCAGAAGGGGCAACUGGAAUUCUCGGUGUAGCGGUGAAAUGCGUAGAUAUCGAGAGGAACACCUGCGGCGAAGGCGGGUUGCUGGGCUGACACUGACGCUGAGGCGCGAAAGCUAGGGGAGCGAACGGGAUUAGAUACCCCGGUAGUCCUAGCCUUAAACGAUGAAUGCUUGGUGUCUGGGGUUUUAUA